RNAcentral lists this long non-coding RNA (5264 nucleotides) under Capsicum annuum. Its description in RNAcentral is "long non-coding RNA (CANN_LNC018491)". Lineage: Eukaryota; Viridiplantae; Streptophyta; Magnoliopsida; Solanales; Solanaceae. The record is from RNAcentral.
UCACUAAUUGUACAACCCACUCUUUUCAUUAUGAUAUGAUGUUACAUGGACACAUACUUGUCAUUUGUCAUGCUUAUAGUCUUAUAGCUCAAAUGUUACGACCACCAAAGAUUCAUCUCAAAAGUAAUAAGAAGAUAUAUGUAUACAGUUGCUUCUGUUGGGUGGUAUCCCAGGGGUGAAAGAAUCACCUAGCAUGGGUCAAUCCCAGUAUUACAGGGGGUAUCCCAGGGGUGAAAGGAAAGCCUAGCAUGGGUCGAUCCUGAUAUAGAUUUACCACUGAUCAGCUGGUCAUCUGUAUUACAUGCUGUGCACAGAUUAUACAAGUAAUAAGAGUAAAGUAACAUAAUUUUUAUAAGAUACAUGACUCCACAAUAUUCAUAAAGGUGGUCUUUUACCCUACAGCAGUACAUGGUUUCAUUUGAGUUUUUAUCUCAUAUAUAGUACAUGUUGCCUUACAUAUUCAGUACAUUAUUUCGUACUGACGUCCCUCUUGGGGGACCUGCAUUCCAUGCUGCAGGUACAGAAGCUAAUAAACCUCCCUAGUAAGAGUACAGGAUAUCAACCGCAGUCACUGAGCUCCAGGUUGCUUCGGGCCUUUGAGUCUUAUCAUAUCUUUUUGCAUUGUAUAGUAUCUUAUCAUGAGGCGGGGCCUGUCCCGAUCCUUACCCUCAUAAGAUAAUGUUUCUUGUCUAGAGGCCUUGUAGACUACGUUAAGUAUAGUAUGGUCAUGUAUCGUAUCGUAGACAUUGUGGCUCCAACGGCCUAGUCAUAUAAUAUCUUUUGACUUGCUAGUCCUAUUUAUAUUUUGAGGGCAUGUUUAGUAUGAAAGGAACUUAUAAUGUUCAUAGGUAAUAUAUUGCUACAGGUUGGUUCUCCCGAGCCUUACCGGCAACGGGUGCCAGUCCGCCUUAAUAGGAUUUGGGGCGUGACAAAAAGGACUUACCACUAACUCUGUCAGCUGAAUAUCUAAACUGCUAAGUAUGAUCGGGAGCUCAUACAUCUGAACUUAUGAUAUAAAACAUAAUAGCAUAAAAUAAAGGUAUGCGUCAGUACUUUGAAUGUACUAGUAUGCAAAGUGAGGUAGGAUGAAAUGCAUGGGUUCAUAUGCAUGAACAAUACUGACUGAAUGAUGUAAGUAUAAUUGAAUGAAAGUACAUGCGUGAAUAUGUAAACUGUAACUGGGAUCUUGAUAACACUGGGAUACCAAAUUUGAAUACUGAUUAAUUGAUAUCUGAGCCUACUGAUACUAAAUUACUGAUAAUUGAGUGGCUGUAUCUGAUAGUCUUGAUUCUGUGGAACUAUACUGAGUUUCGUUUUGAGUUGAGUGACUGUAUCUGACAUUCCUGAUUUUUUUGUAAAACUGAACUUAGUUCUACACUGAAACUGGAAGUGAAACUGAGACUGUGGAAAGUAAUCAUCUAACCGAUAUACCCCUCUCUGAAAUUAUUGGGGUCCAACCUGUAACCUUAGUUGGAAGGGUGUCAGUACCAUGCUAUGGGUAAAGAUAAGUUGAGUCACCCACAUCUGGCAGGUGCUCUAAACGAGAAUGGUGGUACCCUCAACUGGCAGGUAGAUCACCUCAUCAACCCUUAACUGGAAGGUUGAUGUCUCAACCUACGCUGGCUACGUAGUUCUGGAACACAAGAACUGCUUCUAAGGAUCAUACCCUCUACUGGCAGGUGAGUCACCAUCCGUAGGUUCACUUGGUGCUGAAUCCAACUCCCAACUGAAUAGAAACUGGACUGGAUUCUAGACUGUUCUAGGCUGGAUUGAACUUUUCUGAUCGUAUUGUAUAACUAAACUGAACUGAGUUCACUGGGUUCUGUGGAAUGAUGGAAUAUUACUGAAUUCUGUUAACUGACUGAAUUCUAUCGAUCGUGACAUGAAUGAUACUAUCCUGUGAUUGACUAUAGAUCUAGGUAAACAACUAACUUAUCGGGUAUUAAAUACCCCCAGGACUCGAUAGCGUAAAUUAUACGACAUGGCACAAUCUUGAAAUAUGAUAGCUAAGUACUUGGUCAUCCUACAUUCAUUUGGAACAUUCUAGCAAACACUUGCAUUACAUGAACUUGAACAUAUGGUUACAUGAUAUAAUUUUACUAUUCAACUCACACAAACAAUUCAUCAAACACUUGAAGGACAUAACCUAUGCAUAUGACACUAAAACAACAUGUAAGAAUCAUAGUUCAAUUCCAUAUUUACAACUUCAAGGGUCAACAUGGUUUAACAUGAUAAUGCACACAUAUCAAUCAAUUCCACAUGAAUCUUGUAGUAAAUCAUGAACUAGAAACCCCAUUAACAUGGUAAUUAUGAACACAUUCAAAUUCAACCACGAAAUUCAUCAAACUCAUAAACUUGUAGUUAAAAAGGGUUCUUGAACUCCAUGGGUGGAAGAAAACCCUUGGAUGAACACUUUACAUACCUUGGUUGCUAAAUUCCUAAAGAACAAUGGUGGAGAUCUUGAGCCUUGGCCUUGAAAUUUAAUCACCUAGGGUUCUUGUUUUUGAGAAAUUUGAGAGAAAGUAAGUAUAUUUUGCUGAAUGAGGACUGAAUAGGGGUGGGAAAAUGACCCAAAUACCCCCCAAGGACGUGACUUUUAAUGACUGAAAACUGGAUUGUCGAUGCGCAGGACGAUGUGCCGCGUUGUUGGCAUCGACGCGAUAGCCAACACACCGUGUCGAGUCUGCGUCAGUUCAUUGGAAAUUGCCACUAGGAGCCAAGGAAAAAUAUUGAUCAACACGAUGGCCGACACUCCAUGCCGAGAUCCCGUUGAUUCACUAUUUUUGAUUCCCAAACGUGAUUCAAACGAGGUCCAAAAAAUCCAAAACUCGUCCGAAAACACCUACUGACAUUUCUAAUCAUGAAUCAAUCUAAAGAUCGAUACUUUAAGGUCACAAGAGUCGUGAAAUAGAGUUGUCAACUUACGAAGGCCAAAAUAAUACUAAGUGUGAAUACUUAGCUAGAAUUUUCUAAGUCUGGGAUCCCUUAGCAAGCUUAAAAGACUGAGUUGAGCUUAGAAUUUUUAUGGGGUCUUACAAUGUAGUUUUUAAAUUUUCUGUUCUUAGACUUGUCAUAUACAAUGCUAAAAUUGAAAAAACCUACUAUAUAUGGUCUUAGACUUGUCAUGUAGAAUGUUAAAAUUAAAAAAACCUACUAUAUAUACAAAAAGCCUCUCUUUUUGGGACAUAACCAAAAAGAGGUAAGACACUUAAAUUAAGAUGAAGGAGUAGCAAAGUUUUAUGAAUUUUUUUAUCUCUUUACUUUCUCUGAUUUAUAUUUCUUUUUAUUUUCAAUGUUUAUACUUAAUUUAUAAUGAAUAUCUUUCAUAUAAUGAUGAUUGUCUUAAUAAUUUUUUUAAAAAUCAAAUUUAAUACAACUAAAUUUGGACAUAACCAAAACCUUAUAUUAAAUUGGUAUUAUUUAAUUAAGGUAUCGAAAUGAAGAUUACUUGUUAUUUUAUAGAGAAAAAUAUUUUUUAAGGAGUAUGUCAAAAAUAAAAAUACUAUAAUUAUGAAUAAGAAAGCCAAUAAGAUUAGUCUUUAUAUUUUUUUUCAUUAAAUGUUUUUGUCAAAAUUUAGUAAUAAUGAAAAUUAUGAAUAAUUGAUUUUUAUGUGUCAUUAGGUUUUAAUAAUUAUGUUGUCACUACCCGAACCAGAGCCUAGUAUAUAUAUAAAGGAGAAACAUAGAGGAGGUGAUGUGACACCUCUCUAUGAUCUCAAUUGCUAUUUAUUUUUUUGUGGAUUUUUUGAUAAUUUUCUUAUUUUUUUUAUUUUUUAUUGCACAAAAAUGAAUAUUACAAUUACUACUCAUCCAUUUAUUCCUAUACUUCAAUGUAAGAGUUUAAAUGUCUUACAAUUUCUUUAAAACUCCAUUACUCUAUAAUUAAUUUUUAAGUUUUAUUCUUUUAUCUUGGCUUUUCAUUUUUCAAUAUGCUUUUAAAUGAAUAUGCAUGUAAUGUAACUUUCCCCUUAUAAAUAGAGCGCAUUUCAUGAUCUUUUGAUAUUAUUUGUCCUUUUCAUAAACGGCCAAAUCCGUAGAGCUGAUGUUAAAGAUGGUGGAAUACAAGAAAGGUAUUACAAAUUAUUUUAGAAUUUUGUAGUUUUAGUUUUCUGUGUAAAAGUUAAACAACAAAUACGUUUAUUCUCUUUUACUAUUUGUAAGUGUCAUGUAUGUUGAUGUUAAAGAUGGUUGAAUACAACAAAGGUAUUACAAAUUAUUUUAGAAUUUGUAGUCUUAGUUUUCUAUGUAAAGAUUAAAUAACAAAUAUUAUUCUCUUUUAUUAUUUGUAAGUGUGAUGUAUAUUAUGAAAUUGAUAAUGAUUUACUAUUCAUCACAAAGAAUACAUAUAUUGAUCGAAUAUUUGUAUGUAUGACUUCUACGUAAUAUUAAUUUUAGAAUUUAAUUGUUAUCUAUAUAAUUUAUGUUGUCUUGUGCAUUAUAUAAUAAUGGAUGAAGUUGUCUUAUAAAACAAAAAUAAGUUGAAAAAUAGAAAAAAAAAAUUCAAAAGAACAUAAGCUAUAAAUAAAAAUAAGAUUCUUAUGUCUUUAUGUUGGAUUAUGGGUCAUGGAUCACCCAUGUGAAUCGAUCCGACCCGACCCAGUUCUUUAGUUUUGAUUAUCUGAAAAACAGAUUUCAAAUAAAAGGGGGAAAUACAUAUUUUAAAUAAAAAGGGGGAACAGUUACAUAACUGUUACCACCCAAAUAUCCCUAUAUAUUUGAGUAUCUUCUACCAAGAAUGUAGCAGAGAGAUUGAAGCAAAGAAAGCCAGAAAACGAAAAUUAACAACAAUACCAAAAAAGAAUAACAUUUAGUUUGUGAUUCAAGGCUUCGUUUCUAAGAGAUUCAAAGCAGACUCGGGGGUAGAUCCUUUCGGAAGCAAAAUUGAUUUCCAUUGCAAAUUAAAGGUACACUAUUUUGCUCCAAAUUUGCUAACAAUAGUAUCAGAUCCAGGUUUAAUAGCCCCAGUUUCGAUCAAAUUGACUAAUUCACAUUCUUGAAUAAAAAAAUUAAAAUUGAAUAAGACUUUACCCUUUAGAAAGAAAUCAUGGAUAAAGAUCGGGAUUUUAGACCCGACUUGAAUCAUACGAACAAUAUUCUAUUCUGGAAUAAGAUGAGAAUUGCAUGACAAAAUCCGGUUGUAGAUUCAUUUGAUAUUUAAAAUCAGUAACCUUUGCUUUUGUGUUUUUUUUUCUUCUUCAUGAUUUUUUUUGUUUGGGAGAAAGACAAUUUUUUUUUGCUUAUAUAAUCUUGAAUGAAGAUGAUAA